CCUACGGGUGGCAGCAGUGAGGAAUAUUGGUCAAUGGGCGCAAGCCUGAACCAGCCAAGUCGCGUGAGGGAAGACGGCCCUACGGGUUGUAAACCUCUUUUGUCGGGGAGCAAGCCUGAGCACGUGUGCCCAGGCGGAGAGUACCCGAAGAAAAAGCAGUGGCUAACUCCGUGCCACCAGCCGCGGUAAUACGGAGGAUGUGAGCGUCAUCCGGGUUUUUUGGGUUAAAGGGGUUCGCAGGCGGUCUGUUAAGCCGUCGGUAAAAAUUCAGGGCUCAACCCUGUCGAGCAGUCGGAACUGGCAGCCUUGAGUGGGCGAGAAGUAUGCGGAAUGCGUGGUGUAGCGGUGAAAUGCAUAGAGAUCACGCAGAACGCCGAUUGCGAAGGCAGCAUACCGGCGCCCGACUGACGCUGAGGCACGAAAGCGUGGGGAUCGAACAGGAUUAGAUACCCCGGUAGUC
This 460-nucleotide ribosomal RNA is filed under the name uncultured bacterium. Its description in RNAcentral is "partial 16S ribosomal RNA". It matches the Rfam family "Bacterial small subunit ribosomal RNA", at positions 338 to 795 of the family's 1533-position model. The record is from RNAcentral.